UGACAGUUACUGCCACAAAUAUGAAAAAUGUUGUGACAAUGGAUGUGGGCGUACGUGCGUGACAGCGAUUGGCGUUGUUCUUUGGCGUUUUGGUUGAUAUCUGUCAAAGAAAGUAGGAGGUGAAGAAAAACUCAGCAAGACAACUGGCUGCCGUUCCUGCAGAGAGCCCUGCUGAUUCAACAAUCUUCAACCACACUAAAUCCUACAUCCUUGGCUGUACUGUCUGGGUUUCUUUCAUGUCAAAAUACAUCAAGAUUUAAAAAAAAAA
This is a long non-coding RNA of Salarias fasciatus (jewelled blenny), 268 nucleotides long. RefSeq lists it as uncharacterized. The record is from RefSeq and is a predicted model, not a curated record. The transcript is spliced from 2 exons. NCBI's taxonomy places the organism in Eukaryota, Metazoa, Chordata, Actinopteri, Blenniiformes, Blenniidae.